AAUCGGGAACCGGUUACACACGGUCGGCAAGAUAUAUUUCCUAGCUAAGAUUUCCUGUGGCAACGGCCACAUUUAAUUUUGUCUACUGAAUAAUUGGUUUGAGUCAGAAGAUAGGAUGAGAAUGCCUAUAGAUGGGUCUCCCAUAUUCAAUUGAAUCAAUUCUGUCUGAAGAUUGUCUAAAAUCUCAAAUUUAUAAACCCAUUUUCUCUGGCACGAAGCCUCCUCACUAGCAAUUACGUUUCUCUCUCCACUCUCAUUAUCACUUCCUCUCUUCAGUAAAACUCACCUAUCCUCUCCCUUUGUCUCAUCCAAAAAAAAAAAAACCACCAUUACCAUCUUUUCCGUUUCCUUCGCCGUCGUACGAUUCCACCUGAUCAGCCAUCUCCGUCCCUGGUGAACACUAAACCUUCGACAACCCCCAUCCUGGCAGUUCACUCUUUUCCUUAGGUUCCAACGUUAAUAAUUAAGUUUGUACGUGUGUUAGCUUGUGGUUCACGCUACAGAGGUGAGUUACGAAUAUACCCUGGUUACAUAACUUUUAUGAAAUGCUUUUAAAUUGCAUUUAUUGAAUGUAUAGAUAUAAAAGGAUGAGUUUACGAAAAUAGACGUCUUGUACGGAAGCGUCAUAUUGCAUAAUGAGCAUAAUUUGAGAUGAUAUUUCAAGAUGAGCAUGGGAUGAGUUUUAAAAGAAAGAACGAAAUGAUUUACUGUGUUGAAACAUCUGGGUGAUGAUUUGGCGCCCAAAGUGAUAAAGGAUGUAGCCGGGUAUCCUAUGGACUUGAUAUCAUUUCCCAAAAGGCGGGGUCGUUCCCCCAAACAGUUGCUGGUGUUCCACCCGUUAAAGAUGUAUAAUUCGACAGUAACGGUUUGCAGUUUCGAGCCUGAAAACUUGCAUUUAAUUUAUUAUUGAACAAAUUCCUUUGAGAUA
Molecule: long non-coding RNA, 928 nt
Organism: Rhododendron vialii
Lineage: Eukaryota; Viridiplantae; Streptophyta; Magnoliopsida; Ericales; Ericaceae
Exons: 2
Source: RefSeq, a predicted model, not a curated record